This is a non-coding RNA of Tachysurus fulvidraco (yellow catfish), 739 nucleotides long. The record is from the annotation of a RefSeq genome assembly. NCBI's taxonomy places the organism in Eukaryota, Metazoa, Chordata, Actinopteri, Siluriformes, Bagridae.
CAUGGAUUAUGGUGGAAAUUAGGAUUCAUUUGAGGGAACUGGAAAUAGAUCGGAUUUCAAUCUGACCUUCACAGGAAGCGUUAAUUACAUCACAACACGUUCAUAUCAUUAUUAAUAAUAACAAACAGAUGAAUUAUUUCCCACAUUAAAUUGAUAUGGAGAUGAAACGGGGUGUGAGUGUGAUUAACAGCUGCAGAGCUGCACUCAACACAGCCUCUCUGUAAUGUUUAUGCAAAUCUGCAUCUCCUCUUGUAAUAUUAGCAGCGUUCUGAUCUAGAGAGGAAACACUUCUCAUUAGUCUUCCUUCAACACAAACAUGUUUGCUUCAGCUCCACUGCUGCUGCUGGCUCUCGCCCCCUAUGUGUUCGGUGCUACUGAGCUCAUCCAGCCAGACUCACUGCUUAUAAAGCCAGGAGAGACUUUAACCAUCACCUGUAAAGUGUCUGGAGCUUCUAUCACUGAUAGGAGCAGCCACUAUGUAACAGCUUGGAUUCGGCAACAUGCAGGAAAAGCUUUAGAAUGGAUCAAUUUAAUCUAUUAUAAUGGGGUUAUUAGUAAUAAAGAUUCACUUAAAGACAAGUUUGUGGUCUCUCGAGACACUUCCAGUAACUCCGUGACCUUACGGGGACAGAACAUGCAGACUGAAGACACAGCUGUGUAUUACUGCGCUCGUCAUCCACACAGUGACACAACAAGCUGCAGUGCUGCACAACAACCUCAUCGCAAUUCAAUUCUUUAA